RNAcentral lists this ribosomal RNA (440 nucleotides) under uncultured bacterium. Its description in RNAcentral is "partial 16S ribosomal RNA". It matches the Rfam family "Bacterial small subunit ribosomal RNA", at positions 338 to 795 of the family's 1533-position model. The record is from RNAcentral.
CCUACGGGUGGCAGCAGUGGGGAAUAUUGGACAAUGGGGGAAACCCUGAUCCAGCGACGCCGCGUGAGUGAAGAAGUAUUUCGGUACGUAAAGCUCUAUCAGCAGGAAAGAAGAUGACGGUACCUGCAUAAGAAGCCCCGGCUAACUACGUGCCAGCAGCCGCGGUAAUACGUAGGGGGCAAGCGUUCUCCGGAAUCACUGGGUGUAAAGGGAGCGUAGACGGCUGUGCAAGCCUGAAGUGAAAGGCGGGGGCCCAACCCCUGGACUGCUUUGGGAACUGUACGGCUGGAGUGCAGGAGAGGUGAGUGGAAUUCCUAGUGUAGCGGUGAAAUGCGUAGAUAUUAGGAGGAACACCAGUGGCGAAGGCGGCUUACUGGACUGUAACUGACGUUGAGGCUCGAAAGCGUGGGGAGCAAACAGGAUUAGAUACCCCUGUAGUC